UACGAAGGGUGCAAGCGUUAAUCGGAAUUACUGGGCGUAAAGGGUGCGUAGGCGGUUGUUUAAGUCUGUCGUGAAAUCCCCGGGCUCAACCUGGGAAUGGCGAUGGAUACUGGACAGCUAGAGUGUGUCAGAGGUCGUGGAAUUCCCGGUGUAGUGGUGAAAUGCGUAGAUAUCGGAAGGAACACCAGUGGCGAAAGCGGCUUCCUGGUCCAGCACCGACGUUCAGGCACGAAAGCGUGGGAGCAAACAGGA
Molecule: ribosomal RNA, 252 nt
Filed under: uncultured bacterium
Lineage: Bacteria
Description: partial 16S ribosomal RNA
Rfam family: Bacterial small subunit ribosomal RNA
Source: RNAcentral